This 406-nucleotide ribosomal RNA is filed under the name uncultured bacterium. Its description in RNAcentral is "partial 16S ribosomal RNA". It matches the Rfam family "Bacterial small subunit ribosomal RNA", at positions 30 to 526 of the family's 1533-position model. The record is from RNAcentral.
AUUGAACGCUGGCGGCAUGCUUUACACAUGCAAGUCGGACGAGUGGCGAACGGGUGAGUAACGCAUGGGAACGUACCGAGUACAGGGGGAUAACUGUCAGAAAGGAGAGCUAAUACCGCAUAUUCUGAUAGCGGCCGAUGUCGGAUUAGCUGGUGGGGGGGGUAAUGGCCCACCAAGGCGACGAUCAGUAGCGGGUAUGGGAGGAUGAUUGGCCACACUGGGACUGAGAAACGGCCCAGACUCCUACGGGAGGCAGCAGUGGGGAAUUUUGGACAAUGGGCGCAAGCCUGAUCCAGCCAUGCCGCGUGUCUGAAGAAGGCCUUCGGGUUGUAAAGGACUUUUGUCAGGGAAGCGGUACCUGAAGAAUAAGCACCGGCUAACUACGUGCCAGCCGCCGCGGUAAUUC